GCCAGCCCGCUCAGAACUUAAAGGAGUUCGACGGGGGCCCGCACAAGCGGUGGAGCAUGUGGUUUAAUUCGAUGAUACGCGAGGAACUUACCUGGGCUCAAAUGUAUGUUGACGUAUUCUGAAAGGGAUACUUCUUCGGACAAUAUACAAGGUGCUGCAUGGUUGUCGUCAGCUCGUGCCGUGAGGUGUCGGGUUAAGUCCCAUAACGAGCGCAACCCUACCUUUAGUUGCCAUCAGGUAAUGCUGGGGACUCUAAAGGAACUGCCUACGCAAGUAGUGAGGAAGGCGGGGAUGACGUCAAAUCAGCACGGCCCUUACGUCCAGGGCUACACACGUGCUACAAUGGCCGAUACAGAGGGCAGCUACCUGGUGACAGGAUGCAAAUCUCCAAAGUCGGUCUCAGUUCGGAUCGGAGUCUGCAACCCGACUCCGUGAAGUUGGAUUCGCUAGUAAUCGCGCAUCAGCCAUGGCGCGGUGAAUACGUUCCCGGGCCUU
This 495-nucleotide ribosomal RNA is filed under the name uncultured Sphingobacteriales bacterium. RNAcentral's name for it is "bacterial SSU rRNA". It matches the Rfam family "Bacterial small subunit ribosomal RNA", at positions 903 to 1382 of the family's 1533-position model. Lineage: Bacteria; Pseudomonadati; Bacteroidota; Sphingobacteriia; Sphingobacteriales. The record is from RNAcentral.